UACGUAGGGGGCAAGCGUUGUCCGGAUUUACUGGGUGUAAAGGGCGUGUAGGCGGGCUAUUAAGUCAGAGGUGAAAUCUUACGGCUCAACCGUGAAAUUGCCUUUGAUACUGUUAGUCUUGAGUACGAGAGAGGAAGAUGGAAUUCCUGGUGUAGCGGUGAAAUGCGUAGAUAUCAGGAAGAACACCGGUGGCGAAGGCGGUCUUCUGGCUCGUAACUGACGCUGAGGCGCGAAAGCAUGGGGAUCAAACAGG
Molecule: ribosomal RNA, 253 nt
Filed under: uncultured bacterium
Lineage: Bacteria
Description: partial 16S ribosomal RNA
Rfam family: Bacterial small subunit ribosomal RNA
Source: RNAcentral